AUUAACCUCGAGAGGACUCUAGACCCUGAUUAAUUAACUUCGAGAGGACUCUAAACCCUGAUUAAUCUCGAGAUUUGAUAGAUUUGACCUAAAAAACUCGAAUAUGAUAAAAGGAUGGAACUAAUCAGGAAAAUGACAACAUAGGACAACAAGAAUAAUCACAAACAACCAAGAGACAAGAAUAGAUGGAAAUCAAAAUAUGUUUAAAAUUAAAUAUUUAGACCACAUGUUUGAAUUGAGAUGAAACGAAAUGCAUUUUGAGCCAUGAAAAUUUAAGGUAGUUAUUUAAUUUAAAUUUAUAUUUAUUUUCGUGUGCUUAAUUUUUGUGGGUUAAAUUUGAUUGGUCAUGUUCUAUGGCUGAAAACUAAGCUCCUCCACAUACAACUUCUUGUAUUUAAAGGAUUCUUAACAUCCCAAUAUUUUGAAAGGAUUUGUAGCUUACAACACAAUGCUGCAUCACAGUUGUUCUUCGGGGGUUAUAUUGCCUCGUCGGACGUCAGGACGGAGGUAGUUCAACCACCGAAGUCGACAGCUCUUUCCAGUACGUUUCAGACCUAAAACAACGUUGCGUUUCGAUAAAGCGUUUCGAUAAGAGAAAAUUAAGGUUUCUCGAGAGAGAGAAAAA
This is a long non-coding RNA of Cucurbita moschata (crookneck pumpkin), 625 nucleotides long. RefSeq lists it as uncharacterized. NCBI's taxonomy places the organism in Eukaryota, Viridiplantae, Streptophyta, Magnoliopsida, Cucurbitales, Cucurbitaceae. The transcript is spliced from 2 exons. The record is from RefSeq and is a predicted model, not a curated record.